UCAUAACGUAGAAUCUAAAUAGUCACCAGUCCUUCUAGACUAGUGUGCGGCCUCCCACAACUACAGCUAGUCUGAUGGACGAUCCAGCUACCAUUUCUAUAAUAAAUAAAUAAUAAAAUUAAAUUAAUUAAAAUAUGCAUAUAAAAGUUUUUAUAGUUCUAACAAAGAAUUUUGGUAUAAAUUUCUUACCAAUCUGUCAGCCACAAUAUAUGUGUCGAUCAAGCUGCCCGUGUGCCUGAUCAGAUCCUGCUGGGUGGCUCAAUUCUGCAAGACCCUCUGCCACCUAUCGGAGUACUCCUCGCUGCUCCAUUAGUCGUAGAGGACCUGCCAUAUAUCCAUCCACAUCCAGUGAUCUGUGAAGGAUGUCCAGUUUGAUGGUGACUGAGAAUUGAUGUGCUGGAUGGCGGACUGCCUGAGACUGUAGAGGUCAUCUCAGAACCUCCAUGUGGCCACCUCCUCGAAGGUCUAAUGGCCAACCUCCUCAUCUUGAAAAGUCUCGA
Molecule: long non-coding RNA, 500 nt
Filed under: Elaeis guineensis (African oil palm)
Lineage: Eukaryota; Viridiplantae; Streptophyta; Magnoliopsida; Arecales; Arecaceae
Description: long non-coding RNA (EGUI_LNC010758)
Source: RNAcentral